ACUCAGAUAUUCCAUUCACUGGCUGGCACCAUUGCUUUUGGUCUAUAGAAGGCAGUGACAUCAUAGAGGAAUAGAGGACAAUGUUCACCUAAUGGCAUCCAGGGAAACAAUUCAGACUGGAAAGGGCCGGAUCCCAAUAUCCCCUUCAUGAGUGUGUCCCAAUGACCUUCCUAAAGUAGGAACAAGACUCCAAGUCAUCAUCUCUGAGGGCAUUUCAUUCAGAUUACAGAAAUAAGCGUGAUCUCAUGGCUUCAGUUUCAAAUUCAAUGCACAUUAACUUGGAUUGGAUCCUUAAGAACUUCUAUUACUAUACAACCCUCCUAACACAAAUUAUCUUCCUCAUUAACAAAUCACCUCUCCUCAAUUUCCUGCAUCCGAGCCCCUGAGAGUACAGGGCAAAUCUCCAACCUCUGACUAUCUUUCAGAGUCCUGAUUUCUCUGCCAGAUGUCCCACAUCCUGAUCACCUUUGUGGCCGCCACCUUUGAAUUGACAGGUCCUGGAGACAUUGAAAGGAUGGAUACAACCAGUGAGAGGCAGAAUACGGAGAGUGUACUGAAGAAUUGAGAGCCAAGACGAAUUGAACUGCCUUUCUAGUCACGUGUUGUCUCUAAGUUUUGUGAUACAGUAAACUUACAGUAGCUUUAACAA
Rattus norvegicus (Norway rat) is the source of this 649-nucleotide long non-coding RNA. RefSeq lists it as uncharacterized. NCBI's taxonomy places the organism in Eukaryota, Metazoa, Chordata, Mammalia, Rodentia, Muridae. The record is from RefSeq and is a predicted model, not a curated record.